Molecule: non-coding RNA, 131 nt
Filed under: uncultured Mediterraneibacter sp.
Lineage: Bacteria; Bacillati; Bacillota; Clostridia; Lachnospirales; Lachnospiraceae
Description: FMN riboswitch (RFN element)
Rfam family: FMN riboswitch aptamer (RFN element)
About the family: The RFN element is a highly conserved domain that is found frequently in the 5'-untranslated regions of prokaryotic mRNAs that encode for flavin mononucleotide (FMN) biosynthesis and transport proteins. This element is a metabolite-dependent riboswitch that directly binds FMN in the absence of proteins. In Bacillus subtilis, the riboswitch most likely controls gene expression by causing premature transcription termination within the 5' untranslated region of the ribDEAHT operon and precluding access to the ribosome-binding site of ypaA mRNA.
Source: RNAcentral
AUCUUCGGGGUCGGGUGCAAGUCCCAACCGGCGGUAUAGUCCGCGACCCGCUUUUAUAAGUGGCUGAACCGGUGACUUUCCUAUAGGGAAAGAAUUCCGGUACCGACAGUAUAGUCUGGAUGAGAGAAGAG